ACCUGUUCUGGAUUUCAGUUAGGUCUUCAGGAGUGACAUCAUCAAACCUGUUCAGGGAUGUUUCCUGAAGGGAAGAUCCCUGGAUUUCAGUUAGGUCUUCAGGAGUGACAUCAUCAAACCUGUUCAUGGAUGUUACCUGAAGGGAAAAUCUCUGGAUUUCAGACGUGCCUUCAGUAGGGACAUCAUCAAAGGUAUUCUUAGAUGAUGCCUGAAGGGAAGAUCUCUGGAUUUCAGUUAGGUCUUCAGGAGUGACAUCAUCAAACCUGAUCUGGAUUUCAGUUAGGUCUUCAGGAGUGACAUCAUCAAACCUGUUCAGGGAUGGCUCCUGAUGGGAAAAUCUCUGGACUUCAGGUAUGCUUUCAGUAGGGGCAUCAUCAAAGGUGUUGUUAGAUGAUGCCUGAAGGGAAGAAAUCAGGAUUUCAGGAAUGCCUUCAGUAGGGACAUCGUCAAAGCUGUUAUCUGAUGUUGCCCGAAGAGAAUCUUUCUGGAUGUCAUAUGUGCCAGUGGCAUUCACAAUGUGAGGUACCUCCCUGUAACUCCCUGAACUCUGAGUGCAUGAGCUGUUGUUGGGGGUGUUCACUUCCUGCGGUGUCUUGCAAGAUAAAGAUUUUGAAGAAGAAAUGCUCUCAGAGGACAGGGAUCUUGAGGAUCUUGACGAAUAGCAAAUCAUGCUGCCCACUGCCAAACAUCUGCUCUUGACAUAAGUAAUCUUACGACCAGCCAAUUUGGAGGCUGGGUGUGGACCUUUGUUUCCCUUCUGCUGACAGCACAAGGUGGCAGGCAUGCUCAGACUUCUCGUGGUCUUCUUCCUUGAUCCCUUCUCAUCAUGCACCCGGUGUUCCUCCAGCAAUGUGAGAAGAGCAAGCUCACUCAGUCUCCUCUGAGAAGUAAAGCCAGUGAUAGCAUCUGCUCGGGACAUAGCAUCAGAGUCCGGCAAAAACUUCUCAGCAUAUUUAGAGUGGUCGCGGUGUGACUUGUGGUUUAAAAUUAGAUCUGAUAAUGUUUCUAUGAGGGAAGAUAUUACAGAUCUACCACUGAAGAUGAAUGGAUACUUCCUUGUGACUUGGAUGAAACAGGAGUAGAACACCAUCCUGGGCACAUGGGGCACUUCCAAACGAUGAGAAAUCGAACAGCAGGAGC
Long non-coding RNA from Mesocricetus auratus (golden hamster), 1140 nucleotides. RefSeq lists it as uncharacterized. The record is from RefSeq and is a predicted model, not a curated record. NCBI's taxonomy places the organism in Eukaryota, Metazoa, Chordata, Mammalia, Rodentia, Cricetidae. The transcript is spliced from 3 exons.